RNAcentral lists this transfer RNA (74 nucleotides) under Candidatus Bathyarchaeota archaeon. Its description in RNAcentral is "tRNA-Cys". It matches the Rfam family "tRNA". From Rfam's summary of the family: Transfer RNA (tRNA) molecules are approximately 80 nucleotides in length. Lineage: Archaea; Thermoproteati; Candidatus Bathyarchaeota. The record is from RNAcentral.
AGCUCUGUGGUCAAGUGGUAAGACGGGUGGUUGCAACCCACCAGUCCCCAGUUCGAUUCUGGGCGGGGCUUCCA